This 82-nucleotide transfer RNA is filed under the name Hordeum vulgare subsp. vulgare (domesticated barley). It matches the Rfam family "tRNA". Rfam says of the family: Transfer RNA (tRNA) molecules are approximately 80 nucleotides in length. The record is from Rfam by way of RNAcentral. Lineage: Eukaryota; Viridiplantae; Streptophyta; Magnoliopsida; Poales; Poaceae.
GACGCUUUGGCCGAGUGGUUAAGGCGUGUCCCUGCUAAGUACGUGGGGUUCCCCCGCGAGAGAUCGAAUCUCUCGGGCGUCG